GCAGCGGUGGUUCAGUGGUAGAAUUCUUGUCUUCCGUGCUGGAGACCCAGGUUCGAUUCCCAGCCAAUGCC
Molecule: transfer RNA, 71 nt
Filed under: Loxodonta africana (African savanna elephant)
Lineage: Eukaryota; Metazoa; Chordata; Mammalia; Proboscidea; Elephantidae
Rfam family: tRNA
About the family: Transfer RNA (tRNA) molecules are approximately 80 nucleotides in length. Their secondary structure includes four short double-helical elements and three loops (D, anti-codon, and T loops).
Source: Rfam by way of RNAcentral